UCCCUGGUGGCUCAGCUGGUAAAGAAUCUGCCUGUAAUGUAGGAGACCCAGGUUUGAUCCCUGGUUUGGGAA
RNAcentral lists this transfer RNA (72 nucleotides) under Bos taurus (domestic cattle). It matches the Rfam family "tRNA". Rfam says of the family: Transfer RNA (tRNA) molecules are approximately 80 nucleotides in length. Their secondary structure includes four short double-helical elements and three loops (D, anti-codon, and T loops). Further hydrogen bonds mediate the characteristic L-shaped molecular structure. tRNAs have two regions of fundamental functional importance: the anti-codon, which is responsible for specific mRNA codon recognition, and the 3' end, to which the tRNAs corresponding amino acid is attached (by aminoacyl-tRNA synthetases). tRNAs cope with the degeneracy of the genetic code in two manners: having more than one tRNA (with a specific anti-codon) for a particular amino acid; and 'wobble' base-pairing, i.e. permitting non-standard base-pairing at the 3rd anti-codon position. The record is from Rfam by way of RNAcentral. Lineage: Eukaryota; Metazoa; Chordata; Mammalia; Artiodactyla; Bovidae. RNAcentral also lists the same sequence under 5 other names.